RNAcentral lists this ribosomal RNA (277 nucleotides) under Clostridiales bacterium. Its description in RNAcentral is "partial 16S ribosomal RNA". It matches the Rfam family "Bacterial small subunit ribosomal RNA", at positions 1 to 243 of the family's 1533-position model. The record is from RNAcentral. Lineage: Bacteria; Bacillati; Bacillota; Clostridia; Eubacteriales.
UUAAUUGGAGAGUUUGAUCCUGGCUCAGGACGAACGCUGGCGGCGUGCCUAACACAUGCAAGUCGAGCGGGGUUAUUGGGGUUCAGCUUGCUGAACGCCACUGACCCAGCGGCGGACGGGUGAGUAACGCGUGAGUAAUCUGCCUCAUACAGGGGGAUAACAGGCGGAAACGCCUGCUAAUACCGCAUAAGACCACGCCACCGCAUGGUGGAGCGGUCAAAGGGUGCACAGACGAGAGGCUGUGCAUACCGGUAUGAGAUGAGCUCGCGUCCCAUUA